UGCAUGGCUGUCGUCAGCUCGUGUCGUGAGAUGUUCGGUUAAGUCCGGCAACGAGCGCAACCCACAUCCCUAGUUGCCAGCAGUUCGGCUGGGCACUCUAUGGAAACUGCCCGUGAUAAGCGGGAGGAAGGUGUGGAUGACGUCAAGUCCUCAUGGCCCUUACGGGUUGGGCUACACACGUGCUACAAUGGCAGUGACAAUGGGUUAAUCCCAAAAAACUGUCUCAGUUCGGAUUGGGGUCUGCAACUCGACCCCAUGAAGUCGGAAUCGCUAGUAAUCGCGUAACAGCAUGACGCGGUGAAUACGUUCCCGGGCCUUGUACACACCGCCCGUCACACCAUGGGGGUUGGUUCUACCCGACGACGCUGCGCUAACCUUCGGGGGGCAGGCGGCCACGGUAGGAUCAGCGACUGGGGUGAAGUCGUAACAAGGUAGCCCUAGGGGAACCUGGGGC
This 454-nucleotide ribosomal RNA is filed under the name uncultured alpha proteobacterium CHAB-III-5. RNAcentral describes it as "bacterial SSU rRNA". It matches the Rfam family "Bacterial small subunit ribosomal RNA", at positions 1042 to 1518 of the family's 1533-position model. Lineage: Bacteria; Pseudomonadati; Pseudomonadota; Alphaproteobacteria. The record is from RNAcentral.